This 426-nucleotide unclassified non-coding RNA is filed under the name Ascomycota sp. RNAcentral's name for it is "partial contains small subunit ribosomal RNA, internal transcribed spacer 1, and 5.8S ribosomal RNA". The stretch from base 1 to 47 matches the Rfam family "Eukaryotic small subunit ribosomal RNA", at positions 1785 to 1831 of the family's 1831-position model. The record is from RNAcentral. Lineage: Eukaryota; Fungi; Ascomycota.
AAAGUCGUAACAAGGUUUCCGUAGGUGAACCUGCGGAAGGAUCAUUACCGAAUGUCCUGCACCUGUCGGAGUAGACCAAUGCUCUGAUUAUCCCACCACCAUCCUGGGGGUUAAUUGGUGAUAAAAUCAACCACCACGGGGAGAGGGGAGGUUGAUCCCAUCACCUGGCAGUUAGAUGUCGGACGCUGCCGGGAUGGAUGGGGCAUAGAUUAGCAUGGGUAUACCACCUGCUUGACAGUGUGCAACUUCUUCUUGUAGUAGAUGAUUCAAUAGUCUGCCAUCAGAGUUUGAGGGGAACCUCAGAUGCUGUUUGGCAGGCCUUUGGGCUCCUACCUACGUCUUCUUUUUUCACCACACAAAAACCUUGUCAUGGUACGGUGUUAAACACAUAUAAUAUAACUUUCAACAACGGAUCUCUUGGCUCUC